AGUAAGCGUGGGUAACCGUGCCUCAUACAGGGGGAUAACAGUUAGAAAUAGACUGCUAAUACCGCAUAAGCGCACAGUGCUGCAUGGCACAGUGUGAAAAACUCCGGUGGUAUGAGAUGGACCCGCGUCUGAUUAGCUAGUUGGUGGGGUAACGGCCUACCAAGGCGACGAUCAGUAGCCGGCCUGAGAGGGUGAACGGCCACAUUGGGACUGAGACACGGCCCAA
RNAcentral lists this ribosomal RNA (226 nucleotides) under uncultured bacterium. RNAcentral describes it as "partial 16S ribosomal RNA". It matches the Rfam family "Bacterial small subunit ribosomal RNA", at positions 109 to 334 of the family's 1533-position model. The record is from RNAcentral.